This is a long non-coding RNA of Mauremys mutica (yellowpond turtle), 1847 nucleotides long. RefSeq lists it as uncharacterized. The record is from RefSeq and is a predicted model, not a curated record. The transcript is spliced from 3 exons. NCBI's taxonomy places the organism in Eukaryota, Metazoa, Chordata, Testudines, Geoemydidae.
AGGAGAAGAAGUGUGUGUGAGGAACCAGAGGCAUGCAAGAAGCUGAGAGUACAGCAUCACCAGUGCAAUGUACUGGAUCACAUGGAAAAUAAUUCUGCUUUACAUCUACCUCCUACGUAGUUUUCUUUCUACUAUUGCCUCCAGGUGUUUCCUGGACUUGCUGCUUUCUAGGUGCUUGAUUCCAACAGAGUGUCCAGGGAGAGGGGACAUCCCAUGGAAGUAGUGGAAAUGGCAAUAAGCAGAAAUCCAUGGGGCAGCAGGAAGAUCCAUGCCUCCAGAUGGUCAAGAGGUCAGACCUGGGAGGGAGCGGCGCAAUAAAAGUGAGAAGAGGCAGAGUGAAAAGAGGGAUAGGUCGAAAUAGGCAAGUUGUAACUAACACCUCAGACUAAAGACCAGUACCGAUUGGUGUGGGGCAGGACAAGAGUGGAGACCAGAAGCAAUAAAUGGAAGUUGCAGGUGCACAGAGAAUGAGGUUUCCACUGUUCCCUUCCACCACAGAAGACUAAUUAUGUAAUUACUUAGAUAGUCCCAGUGACCCAAGAGCUGAAAGAGGGGCUGGAUUUGGAAAACAUGAGCUGUGAAGACUAGGAAAUCUCACAUUUUGAUCUCACCAAGAUAGGAGACUGUGGUGCAUCAUGGGAGAUGUAACCCAAUCUGGCAGCCCAGCCUAUAGAGGAAAAUUGGACUAGGAGGCACCUGAACUCUGGCUCCCAUAAAGUAGCACAACAGCAUUUCUUAAUAAAUAUAUUUCAGUUUUUGGCUGAAAUAUUUAGCUGAAUAAGUCCAAAUUUUCCACCGGGUUGGGUGGGGGAAUUUCCAUCCAGCUCUAGUGACUUGCAUGGCUCCCAUUACUAUACUACAGGGAUGUCUAGGGGUUAAAAGGGGAGACUUCCUGGAGCAUAUUGGGCAGUACUACAAUAUGCUUUUUCUUUGUGUAUUGAAUAUUCAGAACACCUUUCAUAUAUGCCCACAUGAAAGAUCAAUGGCACUCUUCCUUCACAGGGAAAAUGUGCACACUGUACUAUAGUAACUACUCUUUAAAAAAACUGCUAUUAUAGAUUUUAAUGGAGCUACAGUUGAUCUGCAGCAAACCAGGAGUUAUGUUAAACAAAAUAUAUUUUGGGUGUUCCUAAAAAUCUAAAUGAUUCUCUAAGAGCUUCUUAAUCCUGAAUUAGAAAGAGGUUUUGUGAGCUGGGACACUCCAGGCUGCUAUAUUUGAGGCACCUUUGAAAGAAAUGUAUUAUAACUUUUUCUGUUUUAAUGGAUCAUGCCAUUAGAUCAGGAGAGUACUGUGCUGGCAAUACAUAAAACAUCAAAAGAAGCAGUAAAUGAGCAUUGCCACUAAAGCUUACCUAUAAUUGGAUAAUUUUGGAGCUACAUCUCUAUCAGUCAAAAAACAUAAAAGCAAAUCUCUUAUUGGAAGAUUUUUAAGGACGGAGUUAAGGGGUUGAAAAUGUAUGCAGAAACUGCUAAAUGAUGAAGAUGAGGCACUAAAGACCCUUCUUCCUAGGCAUUUUCCCCCUGAUGUCAUGCUAUUUAAUUAUCACUGAGGGGAAUUUCCUGAAGAUUCAGUUGUUAAUUUUGAAUUGUUUUGCGAAAAAUAUCUGAAUCUUUGAGAACUGUCAGAUCUCUGCAAAGUUUCUAGACUUCAUCAAAAAGCUGAUGGAUGUGUGGGGCAAUGAAGUCAAUAAGACUCUUUUUCUGUUGGCGUCAGGAAGUCGUUAAAGCAGUGCUGGCAUACAGUGGGAGCCAGUGGACCCAUAUGUUUAAAUAUUGUGUUGUCUUGUGUUUGAUUAUAUUGCAUGCAUUUCCUUUACAUCUCUAACUAGGAUAAGACACGGUUACUG